AGCCCUUGCUGCCGGGAGCUGUAGUUUACUUUCAGUUUCAUCUUGCAGUGAUCAGCUGAACAGGAUUGAGGGGGCAGAGGUAGGGGGACAAGUUAUCCCAGCCUUUCCCCACCCCCCUCUUCCCCCCAAUGCCAUUAAUCAUGGCAGUGCACUUUAAACUAAGAAGUUACUUGAGGUCCGAAAAGGGGGCGGGGCUAGACGGCACUGUACUACACAGUGCCUUGCUAGUUGCCAGCAGCACGGGAGAAUGGAGGGAAUGUGAGCAGCAGCAUGGCCAAAACAGAUUAAGGACCAGCAAGUCCGAAACGCGUUGGUGAACAAUUAGCAAGUGAAGCACUGACGUCACUCAGCCUGCGCCAGACGGGUGAGGGGACGAAAGAACAAACAAGUAUCGGGAACCAGCCGAAGGGUCGUGAUCCACACGGGAGAGCCGAAGUUUGAGCGUGACUCAAGACUAGGAAAUUGCUCUUACCUGUAUGACAGACUGCAGCAUCAGUCUCUUUCGUCCUUCAUCCUCAGGAUGUCGAAGCAAAUCACAAUUUCUCUGUCAUAAAAAAGCAUCUUAGAGCCAAUGUCAUACUGUAUGACUCAAGUGGACAUACAUAUCUUUACUGGAUGUGGACAAGGCCAUUUAGUUUGGAUUCCAUUUCAGCUUUUACUU
Pseudophryne corroboree (corroboree frog) is the source of this 661-nucleotide long non-coding RNA. RefSeq lists it as uncharacterized. The record is from RefSeq and is a predicted model, not a curated record. NCBI's taxonomy places the organism in Eukaryota, Metazoa, Chordata, Amphibia, Anura, Myobatrachidae. The transcript is spliced from 4 exons.